Molecule: ribosomal RNA, 469 nt
Filed under: uncultured bacterium
Lineage: Bacteria
Description: bacterial SSU rRNA
Rfam family: Bacterial small subunit ribosomal RNA
Source: RNAcentral
AACGAACGCUGGCGGCAUGCCUAACACAUGCAAGUCGAACGAGACCUUCGGGUCUAGUGGCGCACGGGUGCGUAACGCGUAGAUAAUGUGCCCUCUUGCGGGGGAUACCGUUUCGAAAGGAACGUUAAUACCGCAUAAAGUCCUUAGGAGGCAUCUCUUAGGGACCAAACUUCCGGGGCGGGAGGAGCAAUCUGCGUACUAUCAGCUAGUUGGUGAGGUAAUGGCUCACCAAGGCUACGACGGUUAACUGGUCUGAGAGGAUGAUCAGUCACACUGGAACUGAGACACGGUCUAGACUCCUACGGGAGGCAGCAGUGAGGAAUAUUGCACAAUGGGCGAAAGCCUGAUGCAGCGACGCCGCGUGGAGGAUGAAGGAUUUCGGUCUGUAAACUCCUGUCAGUAGGGAAGAGAAUGGACGGUACCGUACUGAGGAAGCUUCGGCUAACUACGUGCCAGCAGCCGCGGUAAU